This 31-nucleotide non-coding RNA is filed under the name Rattus norvegicus (Norway rat). The record is from RNAcentral. Lineage: Eukaryota; Metazoa; Chordata; Mammalia; Rodentia; Muridae.
UGAGGAAACUUUAUUUGAGUUGCACUCUUGC